AGAGUUUGAUCAUGGCUCAGAACGAACGCUGGCGGCAGGCCUAACACAUGCAAGUCGAGCGAAGCCUUCGGGCUUAGCGGCGGACGGGUGAGUAACGCGUGGGAACGUGCCCUUUGGUACGGAAUAGCCCCGGGAAACUGGGAGUAAUACCGUAUGUGGUCGAGAGACGAAAGAUUUAUCGCCAAAGGAUCGGCCCGCGUUGGAUUAGGUAGUUGGUGGGGUAAUGGCCUACCAAGCCGACGAUCCAUAGCUGGUUUGAGAGGAUGAUCAGCCACACUGGGACUGAGACACGGCCCAGACUCCUACGGGAGGCAGCAGUGGGGAAUCUUAGACAAUGGGGGAAACCCUGAUCUAGCCAUGCCGCGUGAUCGAUGAAGGCCUUAGGGUUGUAAAGAUCUUUCAGUGGGGAAGAUAAUGACUGUACCCACAGAAGAAGCCCCGGCUAACUCCGUGCCAGCAGCCGCGGUAAUACGGAGGGGGCUAGCGUUGUUCGGAAUUACUGGGCGUAAAGCGCACGUAGGCGGAACAGAAAGUCAGAGGUGAAAUCCCAGGGCUCAACCUUGGAACUGCCUUUGAAACUCCUGUUCUUGAGGUCGAGAGAGGUGAGUGGAAUUCCGAGUGUAGAGGUGAAAUUCGUAGAUAUUCGGAGGAACACCAGUGGCGAAGGCGGCUCACUGGCUCGAUACUGACGCUGAGGUGC
This 700-nucleotide ribosomal RNA is filed under the name uncultured bacterium. RNAcentral describes it as "bacterial SSU rRNA". It matches the Rfam family "Bacterial small subunit ribosomal RNA", at positions 8 to 754 of the family's 1533-position model. The record is from RNAcentral.